This 468-nucleotide ribosomal RNA is filed under the name uncultured bacterium. Its description in RNAcentral is "partial 16S ribosomal RNA". It matches the Rfam family "Bacterial small subunit ribosomal RNA", at positions 28 to 507 of the family's 1533-position model. The record is from RNAcentral.
GACGAACGCUGGCGGCGUGCUUAACACAUGCAAGUCGAACGGAAAGGCCCUGCUUUUGUGGGGUGCUCGAGUGGCGAACGGGUGAGUAACACGUGAGUAACCUGCCCUUGACUUUGGGAUAACUUCAGGAAACUGGGGCUAAUACCGGAUAGGAGCUCCUGCUGCAUGGUGGGGGUUGGAAAGUUUCGGCGGUUGGGGAUGGACUCGCGGCUUAUCAGCUUGUUGGUGGGGUAGUGGCUUACCAAGGCUUUGACGGGUAGCCGGCCUGAGGGGGUGACCGGCCACAUUGGGACUGAGCUACGGCCCAGACUCCUACGGGAGGCAGCAGUGGGAAAUAUUGCACAAUGGGCGGAAGCCUGACGCAGCAACGCCGCGUGCGGGAUGACGGCCUUCGGGUUGUAAACCGCUUUCGCCUGUGACGAAGCGUGAGUGACGGUAAUGGGUAAAGAAGCACCGGCUAACUACGUG